Paramuricea clavata is the source of this 73-nucleotide non-coding RNA. The record is from the annotation of a GenBank genome assembly. NCBI's taxonomy places the organism in Eukaryota, Metazoa, Cnidaria, Anthozoa, Malacalcyonacea, Plexauridae.
GGCCGCGUAGCUCAGUUGGCAGAGCAUUGGGCUAGUAUUCCAAAGGUCGUAGGUUCGAUUCCCACCGUGGCCA